Molecule: ribosomal RNA, 301 nt
Filed under: uncultured bacterium
Lineage: Bacteria
Description: partial 16S ribosomal RNA
Rfam family: Bacterial small subunit ribosomal RNA
Source: RNAcentral
CAGUAGCCGCGGGAAUACGUAGGUGGCAAGCGUUGUCCGGAAUCAUUGGGCGUAAAGGGCUCGCAGGCGGUUUCUUAAGUCUGAUGUGAAAGCCCCCGGCUCAACCGGGGAGGGUCAUUGGAAACUGGGAAACUUGAGUGCAGAAGAGGAGAGUGGAAUUCCACGCGUAGCGGUGAAAUGCGUAGAGAUGUGGAGGAACACCAGUGGCGAAGGCGACUCUCUGGUCUGUAACUGACGCUGAGGAGCGAAAGCGUGGGGAGCGAACAGGAUUAGAUACCCCUGUAGUCCCUGUCUCUUAUAC